GAGUUUGAUCCUGGCUCAGGACGAACGCUGGCGGUUUCUUAACACAUGCAAGUCGAGCGAGAACCGGCCCUUCGGGACCGGGGACAGCGGCGAACGGGUGAGUAACACGUGAGUAAUCCACCCUUGGCACCGGAAUAGCCCGGGGAAACCCGGAUUAAUGCCGGAUGGCCCGACAGCCUCUCGGGGCGGCGGAAAAGAUAGCUUCGGCCUUCGGCCAGACGAGCUCGCGGCGGAUUAUCUUGUUGGCGGGGUAACGGCCCACCAAGCGACGAUCCGUAGCUGGUCUGAAGGACGAUCACCACACUGGACUGAACACGGCCCAACUCUACGAGGCAGCAGUGGGGAAUCUUGCCAAUGGGGAAAGCCUGACGCAGCGACACCGCGUGAGGGAAGAAGGCUUCUGUUGUAAACCUCUUUCAGGAGGGACGAAGCCACUCGGUGAAUAGCCCAGAGGGUGACGUACCUCAUAAGAAGCCCCGGCUAACUACGUGCCAGCGCCGCGGAAUACUAAGGGGCAAGCGUUGCCGGAUUUAUUGGCGUAAAGAGCGGUACGCGCUUUUGCAAGUCCGCUGUGAAAACUCGAGGCUCAAUCUCAGCUUGUCGGUGAACCCGGGAGCUAGAUCCGGAGAAGAAAAGAGGAAUUCCCGCUGUUAUGUGAAAAUGCCCAA
Molecule: ribosomal RNA, 668 nt
Filed under: uncultured actinomycete
Lineage: Bacteria; Bacillati; Actinomycetota; Actinomycetes; Actinomycetales
Description: bacterial SSU rRNA
Rfam family: Bacterial small subunit ribosomal RNA
Source: RNAcentral